UUUAAUAGCUGCAGUAUUUUAACUGUACUAAGGUAGCAUAAUAAUUAGUCUUUUAAUUGAGGUCUCGUAUGAAUGGUUUGACAAGAAAAUUUCUUUAUUAAUUUAAUUUAAUUAAUUUUAUUUUUUAGUUAAAAAGCUAAAAUUUUAAAAUGGGACGAUAAGACCCUAUAGAUCUUUAAAUUUGUAUUCAUCUUUAUAUAUAAGUUAAUUUAAAAUUAAUUAAUAAAAAUUUUUUGUUGGGGUGACAAUUAAAAUUUUAAAACUUUAAUAUUUAUACACAUAAAUUUAUGUAUUUUAUGAACUUUAAUUUAGGUUUAUUAAAUUAAGAUACCUUAGGGAUAACAGCGUAAUAUAUUUUUAUAGUUCUUAUAGAUAAAUAUGUUUACGACCUCGAUGUUGAAUUAAUCAAAAGUUUUGGAGCAGAAUAUAAAAUUUUAGGUCUGUUCGACCUUUAAACGGUUACA
Molecule: ribosomal RNA, 464 nt
Filed under: Platycorpus nadaensis
Lineage: Eukaryota; Metazoa; Arthropoda; Insecta; Hemiptera; Delphacidae
Description: partial 16S ribosomal RNA
Rfam family: Bacterial large subunit ribosomal RNA (bases 338-464)
Source: RNAcentral